This 320-nucleotide ribosomal RNA is filed under the name uncultured eukaryote. Its description in RNAcentral is "partial 18S ribosomal RNA". It matches the Rfam family "Eukaryotic small subunit ribosomal RNA", at positions 1470 to 1796 of the family's 1831-position model. The record is from RNAcentral.
CCCUUAGAUGUCCUGGGCUGCACGCGCGCUACACUGAUGUGUCCAGUAAGCACCUAACCUCUUCCGAAAGGAACGGGUAACCUUUGCAAAGCACAUCGUGAUGGGGAUAGAUUAUUGCAAUUAUUAGUCUUGAACGAGGAAUUCCUAGUAAGCGCAAGUCAGCAGCUUGCGCUGAUUACGUCCCUGCCCUUUGUACACACCGCCCGUCGCUCCUACCGAUGGGUGAUCCGGUGAAUGAUUCGGACUUCAGCGGCUCCUCUGGGGUGCGCCGGAGAAAGUUUUGUGAACCUUAUCACUUGGAGGAAGGAGAAGUCGUAACA